UACGGAGGGUGCAAGCGUUGUUCGGAAUCAUUGGGCGUAAAGAGCGUGUAGGCGGCCAAGUAAGUCUGAUGUGAAAGCCCGGGGCUUAACCCCGGAAGUGCAUUGGAUACUGCUUGGCUAGAGUACGAGAGGGGGAGGCGGAAUUCCUGGUGUAGGGGUGAAAUCCGUAGAUAUCAGGAGGAACACCGGAGGCGAAGGCGGCUUCCUGGCUCGUUACUGACGCUGAGACGCGAAAGCGUGGGGAGCAAACAGG
This 253-nucleotide ribosomal RNA is filed under the name uncultured bacterium. Its description in RNAcentral is "partial 16S ribosomal RNA". It matches the Rfam family "Bacterial small subunit ribosomal RNA", at positions 524 to 776 of the family's 1533-position model. The record is from RNAcentral.